This 437-nucleotide ribosomal RNA is filed under the name uncultured Oscillospiraceae bacterium. Its description in RNAcentral is "partial 16S ribosomal RNA". It matches the Rfam family "Bacterial small subunit ribosomal RNA", at positions 341 to 792 of the family's 1533-position model. Lineage: Bacteria; Bacillati; Bacillota; Clostridia; Eubacteriales; Oscillospiraceae. The record is from RNAcentral.
ACGGGAGGCAGCAGUGGGGAAUAUUGGGCAAUGGGCGAAAGCCUGACCCAGCAACGCCGCGUGAAGGAAGAAGGUUUUCGGAUUGUAAACUUCUUUUAUCAGGGACGAAGGAAGUGACGGUACCUGACGAAUAAGCCACGGCUAACUACGUGCCAGCAGCCGCGGUAAUACGUAGGUGGCAAGCGUUAUCCGGAUUUACUGGGUGUAAAGGGCGCGUAGGCGGGGAUGCAAGUCAGAUGUGAAAUCCAUGGGCUUAACCCAUGAACUGCAUUUGAAACUGUAUCUCUUGAGUGUCGGAGAGGUAGACGGAAUUCCUAGUGUAGCGGUGAAAUGCGUAGAUAUUAGGAGGAACACCAGUGGCGAAGGCGGUCUACUGGACGAUAACUGACGCUGAGGCGCGAAAGCGUGGGGAGCAAACAGGAUUAGAUACCCUGGUA